CCGGCCUCCUCCGCGGCGGCUCUCCCCACCGGGAGGGGUCCUCACGCCGCCGCUGCCCCUGCACCUCCCUCCUGGACCCCCUCUCCUGCCCGGAGGCCUCUCCCCAGGACCCCGCUGCCAGGACGGCGAAGGCUGCCCCAGCGCGGCCGGCUGCGUCCUCUCCCUGGCCGCCUUCUGACUCCUCAGGGCACCCGGUCUGCCCCUCCCGCACCUCUGGACGCCCCCCGCCCCACCCACGGCAGAGCGCUCAGCUCGCAUCGAGGAGCCGCGGCUGAGCGUCCACAGGCUCAGCGUCUGACGCCGCCACACGGCUCCCGGCCCGGCCCCGACCGCGGAGAAGGGGCUGGGGCCCCGCGCCCCGGCCUGCCUCUGCCGGGCCUCGGCCCCAGCGUCACCGGACCCGCGUCUGUCUCGUCGGCCCGGGACCCGCUUGCCGCACAAGGGACUCCUCCGUUACCGCGCCUCCACGACGCCUCAGAGCACAACCCGAAGGCUCCAGAAGCCCCUCCGUCGCUGACCCCCGCCCCGGGCACCGCCGCCGGUCUCCGACCCGGUGCUGCCCCCGCCGGCGACCCCCGCGCCACCUACCCUCGCCCCACAGCGCCCCUGUUCGCGCCCGCCGAGCCACCCGCGCCGUCCCUCCUGGACCCCUCUCCUGCCCGGAGGCCUCUCCCCAGGACCCCGCUGCCAGGACGGCGAAGGCUGCCCCAGCGCGGCCGGCUGCGUCCUCUCCCUGGCCGCCUUCUGACUCCUCAGGGCACCCGGUCUGCCCCUCCCGCACCUCUGGACGCCCCCCGCCCCACCCACGGCAGAGCGCUCAGCUCGCAUCGAGGAGCCGCGGCUGAGCGUCCACGGGCUCAGCGUCUGACGCCGCCACACGGCUCCCGGCCCGGCCCCGACCGCGGAGAAGGGGCUGGGGCCCCGCGCCCCGGCCUGCCUCUGCCGGGCCUCGGCCCCAGCGUCACCGGACCCGCGUCUGUCUCGUCGGCCCGGGACCCGCUUGCCGCACAAGGACUCCUCCGUUACCGCGCCUCCACGACGCCUCAGAGCACAACCCGAAGGCUCCAGAAGCCCCUCCGUCGCUGA
This 1086-nucleotide long non-coding RNA is filed under the name Bos grunniens (domestic yak). Its description in RNAcentral is "lncRNA (ENSBGRG00000016656.1)". The record is from RNAcentral. Lineage: Eukaryota; Metazoa; Chordata; Mammalia; Artiodactyla; Bovidae.